GGGUUGUGAGGUUAAGCGACUAAGCGUACACGGUGGAUGCCCUGGCAGUCAGAGGCGAUGAAGGACGUGCUAAUCUGCGAUAAGCGUCGGUAAGGUGAUAUGAACCGUUAUAACCGGCGAUUUCCGAAUGGGGAAACCCAGUGUGUUUCGACACACUAUCAUUAACUGAAUCCAUAGGUUAAUGAGGCGAACCGGGGGAACUGAAACAUCUAAGUACCCCGAGGAAAAGAAAUCAACCGAGAUUCCCCCAGUAGCGGCGAGCGAACGGGGAGCAGCCCAGAGCCUGAAUCAGUGUGUGUGUUAGUGGAAGCGUCUGGAAAGGCGCGCGAUACAGGGUGACAGCCCCGUACACAAAAAUGCACAUGCUGUGAGCUCGAUGAGUAGGGCGGGACACGUGGUAUCCUGUCUGAAUAUGGGGGGACCAUCCUCCAAGGCUAAAUACUCCUGACUGACCGAUAGUGAACCAGUACCGUGAGGGAAAGGCGAAAAGAACCCCGGCGAGGGGAGUGAAAAAGAACCUGAAACCGUGUACGUACAAGCAGUGGGAGCACGCUUAGGCGUGUGACUGCGUACCUUUUGUAUAAUGGGUCAGCGACUUAUAUUCUGUAGCAAGGUUAACCGAAUAGGGGAGCCGAAGGGAAACCGAGUCUUAACUGGGCGUUAAGUUGCAGGGUAUAGACCCGAAACCCGGUGAUCUAGCCAUGGGCAGGUUGAAGGUUGGGUAACACUAACUGGAGGACCGAACCGACUAAUGUUGAAAAAUUAGCGGAUGACUUGUGGCUGGGGGUGAAAGGCCAAUCAAACCGGGAGAUAGCUGGUUCUCCCCGAAAGCUAUUUAGGUAGCGCCUCGUGAAUUCAUCUCCGGGGGUAGAGCACUGUUUCGGCAAGGGGGUCAUCCCGACUUACCAACCCGAUGCAAACUGCGAAUACCGGAGAAUGUUAUCACGGGAGACACACGGCGGGUGCUAACGUCCGUCGUGAAGAGGGAAACAACCCAGACCGCCAGCUAAGGUCCCAAAGUCAUGGUUAAGUGGGAAACGAUGUGGGAAGGCCCAGACAGCCAGGAUGUUGGCUUAGAAGCAGCCAUCAUUUAAAGAAAGCGUAAUAGCUCACUGGUCGAGUCGGCCUGCGCGGAAGAUGUAACGGGGCUAAACCAUGCACCGAAGCUGCGGCAGCGACGCUUAUGCGUUGUUGGGUAGGGGAGCGUUCUGUAAGCCUGCGAAGGUGUGCUGUGAGGCAUGCUGGAGGUAUCAGAAGUGCGAAUGCUGACAUAAGUAACGAUAAAGCGGGUGAAAAGCCCGCUCGCCGGAAGACCAAGGGUUCCUGUCCAACGUUAAUCGGGGCAGGGUGAGUCGACCCCUAAGGCGAGGCCGAAAGGCGUAGUCGAUGGGAAACAGGUUAAUAUUCCUGUACUUGGUGUUACUGCGAAGGGGGGACGGAGAAGGCUAUGUUGGCCGGGCGACGGUUGUCCCGGUUUAAGCGUGUAGGCUGGUUUUCCAGGCAAAUCCGGAAAAUCAAGGCUGAGGCGUGAUGACGAGGCACUACGGUGCUGAAGCAACAAAUGCCCUGCUUCCAGGAAAAGCCUCUAAGCAUCAGGUAACAUCAAAUCGUACCCCAAACCGACACAGGUGGUCAGGUAGAGAAUACCAAGGCGCUUGAGAGAACUCGGGUGAAGGAACUAGGCAAAAUGGUGCCGUAACUUCGGGAGAAGGCACGCUGAUAUGUAGGUGAAGCGACUUGCUCGUGGAGCUGAAAUCAGUCGAAGAUACCAGCUGGCUGCAACUGUUUAUUAAAAACACAGCACUGUGCAAACACGAAAGUGGACGUAUACGGUGUGACGCCUGCCCGGUGCCGGAAGGUUAAUUGAUGGGGUCAGCGCAAGCGAAGCUCUUGAUCGAAGCCCCGGUAAACGGCGGCCGUAACUAUAACGGUCCUAAGGUAGCGAAAUUCCUUGUCGGGUAAGUUCCGACCUGCACGAAUGGCGUAAUGAUGGCCAGGCUGUCUCCACCCGAGACUCAGUGAAAUUGAACUCGCUGUGAAGAUGCAGUGUACCCGCGGCAAGACGGAAAGACCCCGUGAACCUUUACUAUAGCUUGACACUGAACAUUGAGCCUUGAUGUGUAGGAUAGGUGGGAGGCUUUGAAGUGUGGACGCCAGUCUGCAUGGAGCCGGCCUUGAAAUACCACCCUUUAAUGUUUGAUGUUCUAACGUUGACCCGUGAUCCGGGUUGCGGACAGUGUCUGGUGGGUAGUUUGACUGGGGCGGUCUCCUCCUAAAGAGUAACGGAGGAGCACGAAGGUUGGCUAAUCCUGGUCGGACAUCAGGAGGUUAGUGCAAUGGCAUAAGCCAGCUUGACUGCGAGCGUGACGGCGCGAGCAGGUGCGAAAGCAGGUCAUAGUGAUCCGGUGGUUCUGAAUGGAAGGGCCAUCGCUCAACGGAUAAAAGGUACUCCGGGGAUAACAGGCUGAUACCGCCCAAGAGUUCAUAUCGACGGCGGUGUUUGGCACCUCGAUGUCGGCUCAUCACAUCCUGGGGCUGAAGUAGGUCCCAAGGGUAUGGCUGUUCGCCAUUUAAAGUGGUACGCGAGCUGGGUUUAGAACGUCGUGAGACAGUUCGGUCCCUAUCUGCCGUGGGCGCUGGAGAACUGAGGGGGGCUGCUCCUAGUACGAGAGGACCGGAGUGGACGCAUCACUGGUGUUCGGGUUGUCAUGCCAAUGGCACUGCCCGGUAGCUAAAUGCGGAAGAGAUAAGUGCUGAAAGCAUCUAAGCACGAAACUUGCCCCGAGAUGAGUUCUCCCUGACUCCUUGAGAGUCCUGAAGGAACGUUGAAGACGACGACGUUGAUAGGCCGGGUGUGUAAGCGCAGCGAUGCGUUGAGCUAACCGGUACUAAUGAACCGUGAGGCUUAACCUUACAACGCCGAAG
RNAcentral lists this ribosomal RNA (2925 nucleotides) under Escherichia coli. RNAcentral's name for it is "bacterial LSU rRNA". It matches the Rfam family "Bacterial large subunit ribosomal RNA". The record is from RNAcentral. Lineage: Bacteria; Pseudomonadati; Pseudomonadota; Gammaproteobacteria; Enterobacterales; Enterobacteriaceae.